This 29-nucleotide non-coding RNA is filed under the name Rattus norvegicus (Norway rat). The record is from RNAcentral. Lineage: Eukaryota; Metazoa; Chordata; Mammalia; Rodentia; Muridae.
UAAAGUACCUCUGACUUACUUUAUUUAGC